UCGCUGAUAGAUUAUGUUUAGAUUGUUGGUCUUGUAAGCCAGAGGUGGAAGUAAGUUUCCUUAGUGGU
This 68-nucleotide transfer RNA is filed under the name Barbatia decussata. RNAcentral describes it as "tRNA-Thr". The record is from RNAcentral. Lineage: Eukaryota; Metazoa; Mollusca; Bivalvia; Arcoida; Arcidae.